RNAcentral lists this unclassified non-coding RNA (792 nucleotides) under Zea mays. RNAcentral's name for it is "misc RNA Zm00001eb141320". Lineage: Eukaryota; Viridiplantae; Streptophyta; Magnoliopsida; Poales; Poaceae. The record is from RNAcentral.
CACCCACCUGCACCGCAUCCGCAUCCCCCGAAAAAAGUCCAAGGCAUAGCAGCGUCCUCUACCUCGCCCUCGCCUCGGGGGGUUCACCGCUCUCACGCACGCCCGUCCCCUUGUCUGACAGUCUCCCGUUUCCGUCCGCCGGUUCCGGCCCCCAUCUAGCCCUGCCCGUCUCCCUCCUCGUCGUCCUCGCGCCUCUCAUUAUAAGCCCACCUGCCGCCGCCGUGCUCUUCCCUCCGGUCAUCCCUUUUCUCUCUCUCUCUCGGGUCGCCCCCUGCUGUCCGGUGCCGGUGCGCGAGGCUGCUGCUGCUGCUGUUCCGGUCCCAAGUGGGCGGCGCGUGUGCAAGGCUCCGUGAUCCCGAGCCCGAGGUGAGCAAGCAUUUCUCCCUUGCCUUUUGUUCGCUUCUGCAUGCACCUCCGCUCUGAGCCAUGGCAUACGGAUGGCGACGGCGAUGACGCUGUGCUCCUCCCGUCUCCCCGUCUGUCUCUGCCAGGAGCAAGCAAAGCGGACCACCGUUGCAUUGGCUUUAGCUGUACCGUAAAAUAGGACGGAGAGCAGUAAUAAAAAGCGCCGUCCGCGUCCGGUCCGGCCCUGCGCCCCUGCCUCUGCCUGCCUCUGCUCUGCCCGUGCGUGACGAAAGAGUGAAGAAAUAAAUGGCGCCUCUGCUCCAACGCACCAGUACCGAACCAGUGAUUUCCCCUUGUCCUCUUCUCCGUCCGGCCAUACCCCCGGCUUGUAUUUUUGCUCCUCGAGCUGUUGCUGCUUGUUGCCACCUCCUUGGCCGUUUCGUCGUG